CUGAGUUAUAAAAAAUAGAAAAUUCAGAAAACAACUUAAGUGUGUUUUCAAAAUUCUCAGAAAACAAACAAAGAGCAAAGGAGAGAGCAACAAUGGAGUUAUUCCCUACGAAGUGCUUUGGCUCCAAUGGUUCUACACAAAUCUCAGCCUCAACAUCUCCAUUCUCUUGAGCAUUUCACUCAAUCAAGACUACUAAACUUCAAGAAGGAGAUUAUGUCCUCAUCCCAUCAUAGGAGGAAUAUAUAGCAGCCGGGUAUUAUAAAAUGGGCGUUUCUAGCUCAAGAGUAGAAGAAGAUAAAGCCCUGCAGCUAUGUCGUGACAAGAAGAAGUUUGUUAGGCAAGCACUUGAUGGGAGGUACACACUAGCAGUAGCUCAUGUUGCAUAUAUUCAGUCACUAAGGAGCACCAGAGUGGUUCUUAAAAAAAUUGUUGAGCCCAAAGCUCCAGUUGAAUCUUCCUUGUAUGCUUCCACUACUGCAACGCCCGGACCUCUUGCUCUGACUGAGAAAACAAAUUCUCAGUUUUCAUUUACUUGUGCAUAUACAUCAAUAUGCUAAAUGUUGUUUGUGUUUGAGCUUUAGAUGAUUGACAAUUAAAACUUUUGGAACUUACAAAAAGUAUGAGACCAACUUUGUCGGAUUGGUGAGAAAAAGGGUGUUCAACUUUUCGUUAAGUACUUUUUGCUAGCUAGUAAUUGUAAUGGGAAUUAACAAUACUCUUAUUUUUUUUGUUAGGAUCUAGUUGCUUUAAAUUUAUAUUUUGUUUCAGGAAGAUUUUUGAGUGAUAGUCUUUAUAAUGUGUUUAUGAUUU
This is a long non-coding RNA of Humulus lupulus (European hop), 810 nucleotides long. RefSeq lists it as uncharacterized. The record is from RefSeq and is a predicted model, not a curated record. Lineage: Eukaryota; Viridiplantae; Streptophyta; Magnoliopsida; Rosales; Cannabaceae. The transcript is spliced from 2 exons.